RNAcentral lists this unclassified non-coding RNA (547 nucleotides) under Styphelia deformis. RNAcentral's name for it is "partial miscellaneous RNA". Lineage: Eukaryota; Viridiplantae; Streptophyta; Magnoliopsida; Ericales; Ericaceae. The record is from RNAcentral.
CACGACGUUGUAAAACGACGUUAUGCAUGAACGUUGGGUUACUCACGACGUUGUAAAAGGACGUUAUGCAUGAACGUAAUGCUCAUAACUUCCCUCUAGACCUAGCUUCUAUUGAAGUUCCAUCUACAACUGGAUAAUACUUUGGUCCUAGUCUAUAUGAGUUUUUGAAAGUAAGGGAGCAAUCACCUCUUGUUCUAUCAAGAGUGCAUUGCUCCUUUACUUUUCGUUUUUUUAUUACGACUAGAGUAGUCUUUGACUUACAGAUCGUUUUUUUGUUACAAGAAAAAGAUUUUUAUGCUUUGGUUCAUGAUUUCAUGAUGGAGUCUCCUUUUUUCUUUUUUUAUUCCUUUUUAAUUGAGAUACCUUUGUUUUGUGAAAUUUUUCUUUUCCAUUGAAAAGAAAAGAUAAAAUUUGCUUAAGACUUCAAAUUUAUAUUUCCGAAAUAAUAAAUAAAUAAUAAAUAAAUAUAAUAAAUAAAUAAUCAGAAAUUUUUGAAAUGGAAAUCUUAAAGGGCGGAUGUAGCCAAGUGGAAUAAGGCAGUGGAUUG